GUUUGCUCAGAGUGCAGCUGUAUGCAUAUACGUAACAAAGAGAAAAUGAGAAGUGUACCACGCCCUGUCCAGAGGUCUAGCUUCAAUUUUUGAUUCAGCAGCUCUGGUGCAAUAAUACGAAGUAAUCGCUAGUCCGUAGCUGCCUCUCAAAUAAGAAUUCUAACGAGGCAAGUUUCUUACCAACUUUGUCUUCAGUCUUUGGAUGAGUUGCGAAGGAAAUGGGCAAGAAGACUUCUCGUACGGUAAAAGCUACUACAGAGUGUGUAGCAGUUGACAUGUGACAUA
Long non-coding RNA from Corticium candelabrum, 285 nucleotides. RefSeq lists it as uncharacterized. The record is from RefSeq and is a predicted model, not a curated record. Lineage: Eukaryota; Metazoa; Porifera; Homoscleromorpha; Homosclerophorida; Plakinidae. The transcript is spliced from 3 exons.